AUACGGAAGGCAGCAGUGGGGAAUAUUGGACAAUGGGGGCAACCCUGAUCCAGCGACGCCGCGUGUGUGAAGAAGGCCUGCGGGUUGUAAAGCACUUUUAGUGGGGAUGAAAAGCCAAGGGCUAAUACCUUUUGGUCUUGACCUAACCCAAAGAAAAAGCACCGGCUAACUCUGUGCCAGCAGCCGCGGUAAUACAGAGGGUGCAAGCGUUAAUCGGAAUUACUGGGCGUAAAGCGUGCGCAGUCGGUUGUCUAAGUCGGAUGUGAAAUCCCCGGGCUCAACCUGGGAAUUGCAUUCGAUACUGGACAGCUAGAGUUCGGCAGAGGGAAGCGGAAUUUCGGGUGUAGCGGUGAAAUGCGUAGAUAUCCGAAGGAACAUCAGUGGCGAAGGCGGCUUCCUGGACCAGAACUGACGAUCAGGCACGAAAGCGUGGGGAGCAAACAGGAUUAGAAACCCUUGUAGUCCU
Molecule: ribosomal RNA, 466 nt
Filed under: uncultured bacterium
Lineage: Bacteria
Description: bacterial SSU rRNA
Rfam family: Bacterial small subunit ribosomal RNA
Source: RNAcentral